UUGACCUCGGAUCAGGUAGGGAUACCCGCUGAACUUAAGCAUAUCAAUAAGCGGAGGAAAAGAAACCAACAGGGAUUGCCUCAGUAACGGCGAGUGAAGCGGCAAAAGCUCAAAUUUUAAAGCUGACAUCUUCGGUGUCCGCGUUGUAAUUUUGUGAGGCAUCUCCGGGUAGGGCGCCGGCCUAAGUUCCUUGGAACAGGACGUCACAGAGGGUGAGAAUCCCGUGCUUGGCUGGCUGUCCCCGUCCAUGUGAGGUGUCUUCGACGAGUCGAGUUGUUUGGGAAUGCAGCUCAAAAUGGGUGGUAAAUUUCAUCUAAAGCUAAAUAUUGGUGGGAGACCGAUAGCGCACAAGUAGAGUGAUCGAAAGAUGAAAAGCACUUUGAAAAUAGAGUUAAAAAGUACGUGAAAUUGUUGAAAGGGAAGCGCUUGAGACCAGACUUCGGUAAGGGGUGAUCAGCCGUCCUUUUGGGCGGUGCACUUGCCCCCCUCCGGGCCAGCAUCGGUUGAGGCGGCGGGAUAAAGGUCCCGGGAAUGUGGCUCCUUCACGGGAGUGUUAUAGCCCGGGUGAAUGCCGCCAGCUUCGACCGAGGACCGCACCCGCAAGGGUUAGGAUGCUUGGCAUAAUGGUCUUCAGCGACCCGUCUU
RNAcentral lists this ribosomal RNA (645 nucleotides) under Morchella norvegiensis. RNAcentral describes it as "partial 28S ribosomal RNA". It matches the Rfam family "Eukaryotic large subunit ribosomal RNA", at positions 1 to 655 of the family's 3401-position model. Lineage: Eukaryota; Fungi; Ascomycota; Pezizomycetes; Pezizales; Morchellaceae. The record is from RNAcentral.